GGCGAACGGGUGAGUAACAUAUCGGAACGUAUCCAAUAAUGGGGGAUAACUAAUCGAAAGGUUGGCUAAUACCGCAUACGCCCUACGGGGGAAAGCUAGGGAUCUUCGGACCUGGCGUUAAUGGAGCGGCCGAUAUCUGAUUAGCUAGUUGGUGGGGUAAAGGCCCACCAAGGCGACGAUCAGUAGCUGGUCUGAGAGGACGACCAGCCACACUGGAACUGAGACACGGUCCAGACUCCUACGGGAGGCAGCAGUGGGGAAUUUUGGACAAUGGGCGCAAGCCUGAUCCAGCCAUUCCGCGUGAGUGAAGAAGGCCUUCGGGUUGUAAAGCUCUUUCGCAAGGGAAGAAAACUUAUCCUCUAACAUAGGAUGAGGUUGACGGUACCUUGAUAAGAAGCACCGGCUAACUACGUGCCAGCAGCCGCGGUAAUACGUAGGGUGCGAGCGUUAAUCGGAAUUACUGGGCGUAAAGCGUGCGCAGGCUGUUUUGUAAGUCAGAUGUGAAAUCCCUGAGCUCAACUUAGGAACUGCGUUUGAAACUACAAGACUAGAAUAUGUCAGAGGGGGGUAGAAUUCCACGUGUAGCAGUGAAAUGCGUAGAGAUGUGGAGGAAUACCAAUGGCGAAGGCAGCCCCCUGGGAUAAUAUUGACGCUCAUGCACGAAAGCGUGGGGAGCAAACAGGAUUAGAUACCCUGGUAGUCCACGCCCUAAACGAUGUCUACUAGUUGUUGGUGGAGUAAAAUCCAUGAGUAACGCAGCUAACGCGUGAAGUAGACCGCCUGGGGAGUACGGUCGCAAGAUUAAAACUCAAAUGAAUUGACGGGGGCCCGCACAAGCGGUGGAUUAUGUGGAU
This 854-nucleotide ribosomal RNA is filed under the name uncultured bacterium. RNAcentral's name for it is "bacterial SSU rRNA". It matches the Rfam family "Bacterial small subunit ribosomal RNA", at positions 97 to 946 of the family's 1533-position model. The record is from RNAcentral.